CUCAUAUACCCACCUCAAUGCAACCUAUAAAUAUGGAUAAAAUCAAUGAUAUAAUUUGAUGUAAAUAUCGAGUGAUAAUUUUUUUGAGAUAAGGGUCAAAAAUCACCUCAACCUACUUGAACUAUCAGGUAGAAAAUUAAAAAAUAAAGUGAUACUUGAGGUGUAUUUUUGACCCUUAAAUUUUCAUUUUUAAAUACCUGUGCAAUGCUCUUUUGUUUAUGAAUAGCAAUGUCUUUUAGAACAGGGUUUUGCAUUACAGCAUGAUUGCCCCAGACAGGUAUCCCAUUAGCUCCAAGUGGAGACCAUGCACUUACAAGUAUU
Lycium ferocissimum is the source of this 321-nucleotide long non-coding RNA. RefSeq lists it as uncharacterized. Lineage: Eukaryota; Viridiplantae; Streptophyta; Magnoliopsida; Solanales; Solanaceae. The transcript has 2 exons. The record is from RefSeq and is a predicted model, not a curated record.